UCUGCAUGUUGAGCUAUAUUUACGAAUGAUGUCCUUAUACCGAUGAUAAAAUUCAGUAAAUGUUUUGACUAGUUUGUGAUAUCGAAAGAUAUACAUAUACAAAGAAAACAUGAACCAAUAUAGCAAUAAACAUCAAUGGUAGUCAAUAGUGUAACAAUGUCAUACAAUCAGUAAAAAUAAGAAACUUUUAAUAUGAGCAUCAAAUAAGACAAAAACUGACAGAACUCAUCAAGUAGAAAGAAAUAAGUCUUUAGAAAACAACUACUAAGUAAUGGUAGAAUUACAAUGUUAACCAAGUAUAGCGGUGUGCUAAUUGGCAUGACCAGAAUAGUUUUAGUACAUCUAAAUCAAAUAGGUUCUUCUGUUCCGUGUGAUAAAACCAAGGAUUAUUCCG
RNAcentral lists this long non-coding RNA (394 nucleotides) under Mytilus galloprovincialis (Mediterranean mussel). The record is from RNAcentral. Lineage: Eukaryota; Metazoa; Mollusca; Bivalvia; Mytilida; Mytilidae.